Pelobates cultripes (western spadefoot toad) is the source of this 346-nucleotide non-coding RNA. Lineage: Eukaryota; Metazoa; Chordata; Amphibia; Anura; Pelobatidae. The record is from the annotation of a GenBank genome assembly.
CCUACUGAGACAGCUGAAGAUAACGUACCAGUGGUGACUAACCCGCGCCCUAAUGAUCCAACAGGGUGAGACCAAGCACCUGAUCCACAACCUCUCAGAAGCAGCAGCUUUACUGCCCACACUCCACGUACCUCCAAACACCCUGACAACUCCAGCGGACGGGACACCAACCAGGAAGCGGCACCAGUAGAAUCCAUACUCUACAAUCCCUUUCACCACUCGCCGGAUGACUAUGGGAUGAUAUGCAGCGGCCACUACCUGAAGGACAGUAGGACUAACAACCAUCACCUAAUGAAGCCUUACAGCACUCUUUAGAACUGUAGGCUUAAUUUAAAGUUUGCCGUUA